CCUACGGGCGGCAGCAGUGGGGAAUAUUGGACAAUGGGGGCAACCCUGAUCCAGCCAUGCCGCGUGUGUGAAGAAGGCCCUCGGGUUGUAAAGCACUUUCAGUGAGGAAGAACGCCUGGUGGUUAAUACCCAUCAGGAAAGACAUCACUCACAGAAGAAGCACCGGCUAACUCCGUGCCAGCAGCCGCGGUAAUACGGAGGGUGCGAGCGUUAAUCGGAAUUACUGGGCGUAAAGCGCGCGUAGGUGGCUUGAUAAGCCGGUUGUGAAAGCCCCGGGCUCAACCUGGGAACGGCAUCCGGAACUGUCAAGCUAGAGUGCAGGAGAGGAAGGUAGAAUUCCCGGUGUAGCGGUGAAAUGCGUAGAGAUCGGGAGGAAUACCAGUGGCGAAGGCGGCCUUCUGGACUGGCACUGACACUGAGGUGCGAAAGCGUGGGUAGCAAACAGGAUUAGAUACCCGAGUAGUC
RNAcentral lists this ribosomal RNA (465 nucleotides) under Vreelandella stevensii. RNAcentral's name for it is "partial 16S ribosomal RNA". It matches the Rfam family "Bacterial small subunit ribosomal RNA", at positions 338 to 795 of the family's 1533-position model. The record is from RNAcentral. Lineage: Bacteria; Pseudomonadati; Pseudomonadota; Gammaproteobacteria; Oceanospirillales; Halomonadaceae.